AGUGAACGCUGGCGGUAGGCCUAACACAUGCAAGUCGAACGGCAGCACAGUAAGAGCUUGCUCUUACGGGUGGCGAGUGGCGGACGGGUGAGGAAUACAUCGGAAUCUACUUUUUCGUGGGGGAUAACGUAGGGAAACUUACGCUAAUACCGCAUACGACCUACGGGUGAAAGCAGGGGAUCUUCGGACCUUGCGCGAGUGAAUGAGCCGAUGUCGGAUUAGCUAGUUGGCGGGGUAAAGGCCCACCAAGGCGACGAUCCGUAGCUGGUCUGAGAGGAUGAUCAGCCACACUGGAACUGAGACACGGUCCAGACUCCUACGGGCGGCAGCAGUGGGGAAUAUUGGACAAUGGGCGCAAGCCUGAUACAGCCAUACCGCGUGGGUGAAGAAGGCCUUCGGGUUGUAAAGCCCUUUUGUUGGGAAAGAAAAGCAGCAGGUUAAUACCCCGCUGUUCUGACGGUACCCAAAGAAUAAGCACCGGCUAACUUCGUG
This 492-nucleotide ribosomal RNA is filed under the name uncultured bacterium. RNAcentral's name for it is "partial 16S ribosomal RNA". It matches the Rfam family "Bacterial small subunit ribosomal RNA", at positions 29 to 507 of the family's 1533-position model. The record is from RNAcentral.